CCUACGUGUGGCUGCAGUGAGGAAUAUUGGUCAAUGGGCGGAAGCCUGAACCAUCCAAGUAGCGUGCAGGAUGACGGCCCUACGGGUUGUAAACUGCUUUUAUACGGGAAUAACGCGCCUUACGUGUAGGGCUUUGCAUGUACCGUAUGAAUAAGGACCGGCUAAUUCCGUGCCAGCAUCCGCGGUAAUACGGAAGGUCCGGGCGUUAUCCGGAUUUAUUGGGUUGAAAGGGAGCGUAGGCCGCAUGUCAAGCGUGCUGUGAAAUGUCCGGGCUCAACCCGGGCCUUGCAGCGCGAACUGGCGUGCGUGAGUCCGCGGAAAGCAGGCGGAAUUCGUCGUGUAGCGGUGAAAUGCUUAGAUAUGACGAAGAACACCGAUUGCGAAGGCAGCUUGCUGCAGCGGAACUGACGCUGAUGCUCGAAAGCGCGGGUAUCGAACAGGAGUAGAUACCCGGGUAGUC
Molecule: ribosomal RNA, 460 nt
Filed under: uncultured bacterium
Lineage: Bacteria
Description: partial 16S ribosomal RNA
Rfam family: Bacterial small subunit ribosomal RNA
Source: RNAcentral